GGCGAGACAGAUUUAGUGAUAUUUGUAGUGAUACUCCACACCUUCCCCGCAGUACGCUCUUUGCCCCGAUUGCUUCUGGCAGGAUGAUCCACCAAAGCCCAGGAAAACCCAGUCAGAUCCUUUUGGGGCUUUUGGGCUUGAGUGCACUCCAGGGAAGGUUUUUUUUUUAAUUUUGAUUCCGCGCCAGCAAGAAAGUCUGUACUAAAACAACUUGGCAUAGCUAAAAACUGUACUAGUCGAAAUGCAAAAUGUGUCUCUUGGGGGUAAUCUUGAAUAAUGAUUACCCCCUUAAGAUUGAACAUUUAAACAAUAAUAUUCGAUUUGAUAUUUUCAAUUUCUACGCUAUGCCAAUGAAUCUGGCAUAGUUAAACAUUUGCACAUUCUUAGUCAAGAAAGCAAUAUGUUUUAUUAGACUAAAGCAGAUCACAUGUUCUAGUAUUCUGAUUUACUUGAUGCCUGUGGAAUAAGAAACCUCUUCACUUAUUAUAAUAUGUAUUAUUACAAAUUAAACUUAAAUCUGUUAAGCC
Drosophila ficusphila is the source of this 527-nucleotide non-coding RNA. Lineage: Eukaryota; Metazoa; Arthropoda; Insecta; Diptera; Drosophilidae. The record is from Rfam.